RNAcentral lists this transfer RNA (82 nucleotides) under Mycobacteroides salmoniphilum. Its description in RNAcentral is "tRNA-Pro". Lineage: Bacteria; Bacillati; Actinomycetota; Actinomycetes; Mycobacteriales; Mycobacteriaceae. The record is from RNAcentral.
CGGUGCAGUGGUGGGGUCAAUCAGAUGCAGCAGUUGGGAUCUGCUGAGAGUUAACGGCGGUUGUGUGUGCGCCAGCGCCGAC